GUCGGCUCUGGGCACCUGGCUUUGCAGGGCCAGGCAGGGUGUCGGCUCUGGGCACCCAGCUUCACUGGGCCAGGCUGGGUGUCGGCUCUGGGCACCCGGCUUCGCGGGGCCAGGUGGGGUGUUGUUGUCGGCUCUUGGUGGAGUUUGAUCCAGUUUCCUGCGUUCCUCCUCUUCAGGGUCCCCAGCCCGCACUCGGGCCAGGCUGACCUGUCUCUGUCCUUCCUCUGCAGGGGCUGGCGUCUUCUUCCUGUCCUCGGCCGAGGGGGAGCAGAUCAGCUUCCUGUUCGACUGCAUCGUCCGAGGCAUCUCCCCCACCAAGGGCCCCUUUGGGCUGCGGCCGGUUCUCCCAGACCCAAGUCCCCCGGGACCCUCUACCGUGGAGGAGCGUGUGGCCCAGGAAGCCCUGGAAGCCCUGCAGCUGGAGAAGCGGCUGAGCCUCCUCUCACACGCGGGCAGGCCGGGCAGUGGAGGGGAUGACCGCAGCCUGUCCAGCUCAUCCUCGGAGGCCAGUCACUUGGACGUCAGCGCCAGCAGCCGGCUCACCGCAUGGCCAGAGCAAUCCUCGUCAUCGGCCAGCACGUCGCAGGAGGGGCCUAG
Molecule: small RNA, 597 nt
Filed under: Pongo abelii (Sumatran orangutan)
Lineage: Eukaryota; Metazoa; Chordata; Mammalia; Primates; Hominidae
Description: retained intron
Source: RNAcentral